Molecule: non-coding RNA, 98 nt
Organism: Roridomyces roridus
Lineage: Eukaryota; Fungi; Basidiomycota; Agaricomycetes; Agaricales; Mycenaceae
Source: the annotation of a GenBank genome assembly
GCCCCUCUUGUCUAAUGGCUAUGACGUCAGACUUCUAUAUAAGGAAAUUUCCAUUUAUGGCGAUCUGGAGGUUGCGGGUUCGAGUCCCGCGAGGGGUU